AUAUAAUUUUUAUAUGAUUUGCAUAUCUAUAAAUACUUGAAUUGGAUUGGUCAAUUAUAAUUUUUCUCUAAGUUUACACUUCGAUAAACCAUGUUUCCGAAACUACUUUUGUAAUCUAUUCAUGCGCGAUACACAAGCUUGCAGUGAUCCCAGGAUUUUCAGCAAAUUGAGAUUAAAAAACAAUUGCAUAACUGUUGUGACUAUUU
This 206-nucleotide long non-coding RNA is filed under the name Mytilus galloprovincialis (Mediterranean mussel). The record is from RNAcentral. Lineage: Eukaryota; Metazoa; Mollusca; Bivalvia; Mytilida; Mytilidae.